AUAAUUUAAAGCGUCUAUAGCCAAUUUUUAUUAUUGUAAUUGAGUUUAAUGAUUUAUUUGAUAUUUACUUCUGUUAAUCAAUACUAAGUGGUUUUAUUGCAACAGGAUUAUAAAGAGUAUCAAAACAAAAACGCUGGCAAUUGCCAGCGUUUGAUUGUGCUA
Molecule: unclassified non-coding RNA, 162 nt
Filed under: Moritella viscosa
Lineage: Bacteria; Pseudomonadati; Pseudomonadota; Gammaproteobacteria; Alteromonadales; Moritellaceae
Description: putative sRNA
Source: RNAcentral